RNAcentral lists this ribosomal RNA (506 nucleotides) under uncultured bacterium. RNAcentral describes it as "partial 16S ribosomal RNA". It matches the Rfam family "Bacterial small subunit ribosomal RNA", at positions 28 to 523 of the family's 1533-position model. The record is from RNAcentral.
GAUGAACGCUAGCUACAGGCUUAACACAUGCAAGUCGAGGGGUAACGAGAGGAGAGCUUGCUUUCCUUGUCGACGACCGGCGCACGGGUGAGUAACGCGUAUCCAACCUGCUCCCAACUAAGGAAUAACCUUGCGAAAGUAAGACUAAUACCUUAUAAUUUCCUCAGAUGUCAUCUGACGAGGAAUAAAGAUUUAUCGGUUGUAGAUGGGGAUGCGUCUGAUUAGCUUGUUGGCGGGGUAACGGCCCACCAAGGCAACGAUCAGUAGGGGUUCUGAGAGGAAGGUCCCCCACAGUGGAACUGAGACACGGUCCAAACUCCUACGGGAGGCAGCAGUGAGGAAUAUUGGUCAAUGGGCGGAAGCCUGAACCAGCCAAGUAGCGUGCAGGAUGACGGCCCUAUGGGUUGUAAACUGCUUUUAUACAGGAAUAAAGUUAGCCACGUGUGGUUAUUUGUAGGUACUGUAUGAAUAAGGACCGGCUAAUUCCGUGCCAGCCGCCGCCGUAA